UCGAAACCUGCGCGAGCAGAACGACCCGCGAACUCGUUUAUUAACUCCGGGGGGUCAGGGCCCGGCGCAGGCCGGAACCUGCCCCCCAAGGCCGGGAUUCGUUCCUCCCUCCCUCKUGGGGCGGAGCGAUCUUCCCGGCACCAACGAACCCCGGCGCGGAUUGCGCCAAGGACCAUGGAUGCCAGCGCGUCCCGCGUCCCUCGGUCGUCCGAGGGCCGCGGCGACGACGURYUGUACGUAACAAAACGACUCUCGGCAACGGAUAUCUCGGCUCUCGCAUCGAUGAAGAACGUAGCGAAAUGCGAUACUUGGUGUGAAUUGCAGAAUCCCGUGAACCAUCGAGUCUUUGAACGCAAGUUGCGCCCGAAGCCGUUCGGCCAAGGGCACGUCUGCCUGGGCGUCACCCGUCGCGUUGCCCCCUCCCCUCCUCUCUUCGGGGGAAGAGGAGGGGGCGGAUGUUGGCCUCCCGUGUGCCGCUGCGNGCGCGGCCGGCCUAAAUGCGGAGCUCGUGGACACGGACGCCGCGACGAUUGGUGGUACACACGCGGCCCUGCGGCCGCGAUGCAUCGCGUCGCGCGUCCCAGCGUCCAACGGCGCUCGAAGGACCCCAACGGAGAGCCCCCCGCCGGCGCGCGGGGGAUCCCGAAAGCCUUUGUGACRCC
This 662-nucleotide ribosomal RNA is filed under the name Brunnichia ovata. RNAcentral's name for it is "eukaryotic LSU rRNA". The stretch from base 248 to 403 matches the Rfam family "5.8S ribosomal RNA". The record is from RNAcentral. Lineage: Eukaryota; Viridiplantae; Streptophyta; Magnoliopsida; Caryophyllales; Polygonaceae.